UAAGCGCGAAACCCACCACAAGAUGAGAUUUCUUUUAAGGAUCGUGGAAGAUGACCACGUUGAUAGGCUAUAGAUGUAAAGGCAGUAAUGUCAUAGUCGAGUAGUACUAAUAAUCCGUAAGCUUAUGUACACCC
This 134-nucleotide ribosomal RNA is filed under the name Flavobacterium sp. ABG. RNAcentral describes it as "partial 23S ribosomal RNA". It matches the Rfam family "Bacterial large subunit ribosomal RNA", at positions 2782 to 2925 of the family's 2925-position model. The record is from RNAcentral. Lineage: Bacteria; Pseudomonadati; Bacteroidota; Flavobacteriia; Flavobacteriales; Flavobacteriaceae.